GUCAGGUGACGGGCACGCUAUGUCACUGGCUGUCAGCUGGCUUUCUAUUGGAGCACUCACACUGUUCUCAACAUUACCAUAAGCUGAUGAGGAACGCUCGAGCCCGUCUCAGCGCACACACUCUGAUCUGCAGCUCUGAUGUCACAUCGGGAGACUCAGACCGUGUCAACUCCAAAGCACAUAAAUCUGAAGACCCAUCUUUUUUGGGCUUCCAUUCACUAUAAGCGACCACAGGAAAUAGAAUUUAUCCAGAGUGGAUGAACGUCGUCAUGUGGGGAUCCUGUUUGAGAUGGAGGGGACGUGAACUGCGCUCGAUCCCUAGCUGCUGUUCGUGGCUGUACUGUCAACAUGCUCGGCCACGCGGAGGAGAGGAGAGCUGACACCAACACUUGCCAGGGAUCUUAAACCCAACUGCUUUCCUUUCAUUUCUCCUCUUUUCUCAGAAAGAGCCGCUACAUUCGUGUGAGAGCUGGUUCUCCAUCGCUGUGUGCUGAAAUAACCAGGUAACAACAAGUGCUAACCACCGGGACUCCACUCUACAUACCUGUGCUAACCUCCACACUGUAAGCAUGUCUCCCUCUCUUAAGUCUCAAGCAUGUGUUAAACUGUGAGAACACUUGACUGCAUGACUAUGUCCUCAAACGAAUCUUGAAAUAGCCAGUUUGCCUGCGUCUUUGUGUGCAUCAGAAUAGUUUUAUGGUUAGAAUGAAAGUGAAAUGCCAGAAAUUUUUAAUGUUGGUCAUGGGAAUCAAGAAAUUGAAGCUUGUUGUUGUUACACUCAUUUAAAGUCAAUGUGGAUACACUUAAUAUAGUAUAUUAGUGUAAAAGUAACUGUAAAGUUAUGGAAGAUAAUUGCCUUUUCCAUAUAAAAUAUAACAUAUUGGUCAUUUCAGAAUUUGUGAAGAAAUUCAGUUCCAUCUUAUAUAGUUUAUUCACUGAAAUAUUAAUGGUCUUAUGUAACCUUGUGUUGUUUUGAAUCUAGUUUACAUGUGCAUAGUACAGGCCUACCAGGAUCUGCACAUAGAGGUCAAGUUACACAAGGCCUGUUUGAUUUA
Siniperca chuatsi (mandarin fish) is the source of this 1055-nucleotide long non-coding RNA. RefSeq lists it as uncharacterized. The transcript is spliced from 3 exons. Lineage: Eukaryota; Metazoa; Chordata; Actinopteri; Centrarchiformes; Sinipercidae. The record is from RefSeq and is a predicted model, not a curated record.